RNAcentral lists this ribosomal RNA (368 nucleotides) under uncultured Glomeromycotina. Its description in RNAcentral is "LSU rRNA". The record is from RNAcentral. Lineage: Eukaryota; Fungi; Glomeromycota.
UUGAAAGGGAAACGAUUGAAGUCAGUCGUACCGACGAGAAAUCAACUCUUUGAGUGCGGGCUUGUGGGCAUGCGGGUGUCUCGUUGUUUGCAACGUCUGUGCUUUUUUGGGUGUACUUUUUCGUAUGGUAGGCCAACAUCAGUUUCGAUUAUCAUAAAAUGACCGGAGGAAUGUAGCUUCGAUUUCGAUUGAAGUGUUAUAGCCUUUGGUAGAUGUGGUGAUGGAGACUGAGGAUUGCAACGAAUACCCUUCGGGCUAUCCGUCUGACCUCUGAAAGUUGCUUAGGUGCCGAAAGCGUGCUUACGGUCAUUUAACGCGACGGUCAAAAAGGUUAGAACGUGAUUACAUUCGUUAAGGAUGUUGACGUA